UUCGGGGUCCUCCGCACUAGUUUGCUGGAUGGACCCCAUGCGCAUGGAAAUAAAGCCUUUUUGCCCCCUUAGAGACGUGGGUCCUUGAGGUCUUCUUCCCUGUGACACCGGCCUUACAAGUUCUUCCCUGUCUUCUUCAGAAGAAAACACAAAUCAUGCCUUUUUGAGAAGCCUGAUAUCCGUGAAACUCAUGAUUUGGUUUUCUCUAUAGAGCCUUGAAAAUACAGGUGUCUGAAUGCAAAUGAAAUCACCCAGUUUUUCUCGAGCUGUGGAUGAUCCUCAGAAAGCUGCUCCUGAGCCAAUCCCCAUGUGAAUUUCACAGAUUGCGUAGUUGAACUGAGAACAUGAUCGGAACAUCCAGGAACUUCAGAUCAUUAGUCAUUUCACAGGGGGAAGCAGAUGGCUUCCCUAGAAGCGGGAGUUUUCACCUCCCACAGAAUUUGGACACCAUUAUACAAGAAGGCCUGACUGUUUAGAGAAGCAUGGGUAACUUUUAUCCCAAAUCUGAAGUUUGCCUUUGUCUUCACCUUUCUCUCAUGGUAUAUGCAUACAUAAAUAAAACAUUUUCCAUCUGCAGAAAGGUCUGCUAAAAUAAAACUAUUACAUUAUUCUGAAUUUAUCAUCAGGGAUCCUUUUCUGAUAAGUGUGCAAUGGGAUACAAAUAAUUAAAUAUGCAUUGUUGUCAGGGAAUACUCUACAGAAAUAUAGUGUGUGCUCUAUUACUAUACUGUACAAAAUAGCUUUGUUAUCCUCAGCAUUAUUGAUAUUUGCAAUUCAAUAAUUAUUUCUUGUAAGGGACAGUCUGGUGCAAUGUCGAAUGCUUGCUGCAAUACUGACUUCUCCAACAGAUAAUAGCAAUAAUACCCAUCUCAACUGUGGCAAUUAAAUUUGCCUCUAGACAUUCCCAAAUAUUCAAUGAGUUAAUAAUUAAUAAUAUACAUAUAUAAGACUAUCAGUAAGAAAAAGGACAUAUUUGUUAUAUUCAGUAAAGAUCAACAGAGAAAGUAGAUAGAUGUAAGCCCACCUUCACUUUUAUAUAAGUAUGACUUGGUAUUUAUUUCACAAUUAUUUCAUCUGCUUCUGUAGGUAAGACAAUGAGGAGAUAAAAAAUCUUCAGCAUUUUUCUCCCUGUAUGAACAUGAUGCAUAAUCUGAGUUAUUCAGGAACAGAGAAAGGUAGGAUCACAAGCCCAAGACUGUCAUGGACAACUUAGAGAGACCCCGUCUCAAUAUAAAAGAAUAGAAAAGGACUGAAUAUGUAUGUAGCUCAGUAUCAAGUCCUUAGAUUCCUAAUCUCCCAAACAAGUGUACAGCAAAGUAUAUAUGGUAUGGUGUGCUUUGGUAUGAUUUUAGGGCUCCAGGAGUGUCAAAACCUUUUAGCUGAGUUCAAGACUCUGAGGGCUAAGACUCAAAGACUUCUCUGCACUGCCCAUAUUUAUUAGAUUCAAAACAAAGGCAAGGAAACUGAAGAAAGCAUGGGAAAUGAGCAGGGUCUUGGGAGCCACUUCAAAGACUCCUCUAAGUAGUAAAUUAUGUCAAUAUAGAAGAACCAUCUUAUUUCCAGGAUGACAUUUAUGACAGGAGUGCGACUGCCAGAGUGAGAUUCCUUUAACUGCAGUCUCUAAUUAUUUAACUAGUUUUGGAGCCAAGGAGUCCUCAGCUGUGGCCUUAUCUUGCCCUUUGAGGUAUCUCUGAUCUCACAGGCCACUAUAGGCCUCAGCCAGGGCCAGUGAUUCAUUGAAGUUCACUUAUUAUGAAUCAGCUCCCAUCACCAGGAAAGGGGCUGAGCCCUAGGACAGACUCACAGAUAAACGUAAAAGCCAAUUAGUUUUAAGUGGCUCAGAGCCACUUCAUAGUCAUCUUCAACAGCUCAGCAUUAAAUUGUUUACCUAGCAUGCAUGAGUCUAUGGAUACAAUCUCCAUUAACAUAUACAUACACAUGUGGACACUCCCACAGUUGCACAUACACAAGCAGAUAAACGCAACCCUUACAUAUCACUAUAAUCUCAUCCUGUUUUGGAGUAAAACACUAUCAAUCAAACAGUAUAGAAAAAACAGUUGCUGAAUUUUAAAAGUACCAUGAGUUUGGGAUCUUAUAGUAAUAGAUAUGAUGUAAGGAAAUGGAUUACCUAAUUUUAAUUCUUAUAUUAUUAAUACAUGAUAUUGGAAAAUGUCUGUCACCUUUAUUAUUUGCAGCACUACUUUAAUAAUAUGUCACCAAUUUGAUGGAAUAAAUAACAGAAAUGUGUUUACUCUCAGUAGAUGAUCGAGAACAAGGUAUUGGCAGAGUUGUUUUCCUCUGAGUCUCUCUUCUGGGUUUGUAGAUGGCCAUCUUUUCCCUUUGUCUUCAUAUUGCCUUUCACUGUGUCUCUGCUAUAAUAUCCUUUUCUUAUUAAGACAUCAGUCAUUCGUAUUAUCUUAGUGACCUCACUGUAAUUAAUUUCUGGGCUAACAAUCCUAUCUCCAAAUAUAGUUAUAUUCUGAGAUGAAGAGAUAUAGAACUUCAACAUAUGAAUUUGGGAGGUACUCUAGUUUGGUUGAUAAUGUUACUGGUCCAAGUCUUCAUUUCCUUGCCUGUAACAUGAAGAAACAUAAUACAUACUUCACAGUAAAUUACCAUAUAGACUGAUAGGUAAUUAAUCAAUUUAUUACUUGCUUAUCCAUCUAUCUAGUUUUAUUAAAUGAACCAGUGUCCAAAACAUAACAAGUGUAUAGCAAAGUAACUAUUAUAAUUGUUAUAAUUUUACUUUAUUCUCAGUUAAGAAACAAUGAUGAAUUAGCUCAGUGGCAUAAGUGCCUGCCUUGCAAGCACAUGGUCAUGAGUUAAAUCCCCAGUACCAAAAAAAAAAAAAAAAAAAAAAAAAAAAUGAUGAGCAAAAGCACUUGUCUUCAACAAUGGAUGAAACUGGAAAAAAAGAUGAUAGAGGGAAAGGAGAUGCAGAUAAAGAGUGAUAUAGGAGAAAACAUAACUCCUAAACUGUUAGAUGUCAAAUGUACAGAGUUUGUGUUCCCUGAAAUCAGUUUCAAAGAACAAGGUGGUUAAAAGUAGGAAAGGGUUAUUGGGGAAUAAGAAUAGCUACUAACAGAUGAGUGGGGAGCUAGGGUUGCCAUGGAAGCCCUGUGUCUGGGGUAAUUUACAUAGCAAAGUCACAAUGUGGUUGCAUGUGUGUCAAACUGCAAUCACCUAUAAGAUUACAAAUAUAGCUGCCUAGUUAAUAUUGAUCCAAUAGGAAAACAGGUCACAAAGCAAGGGUACAUGGUGGGAAAAAAAGGUAUUUGGGGGAGGGAUAGAUCCAAAGGUUCUGGUAACAUGGGUGACAGAUAUCUGUCUGAACCUUUUUAAGCAGAUGAUACUUAUAGUAUAAUUCCAAGUACUACUUAUCCAUUAGGGAAGGUAUGUGGGUCGCUGCAUACUUAUUUAUCUAUUGAUUUUAUUAUUUUAUUUUUUGUCUUUUUGAGACAUUAUGGAGUUCAGAUUGGCCUUGAACUCACUUUGUACCCCAGACUGGCCUUGAAUUCAUAGUGGUCCUCCAGUCUUGGCCUCCCUGAUUGGUCUUCUUCAGAUGUGUCACCAGCCACAAUUCUGAUGUCUUUAUUUUUUUACUGCUGACUUUCUUGAGAACCUAGCCCCUCUCGGACUGUUAAUUAAUUUCUAUCUAAUUUAGAUGCCUCUAAUAAGGAGUUUUCAAUCUCAGGAGGACAAAAAUAAAAGCAGAGGUAUGUAAUGCCAGUGACUAACAUUUUCUUGACUCUACUAUUAAUUUUUUUUUUUUAUUUACCAAGAGUUCUUAAGAGAAUUCCUAGUCUCAAUUGGUAGUUGAUUGCAUAAAAAUUCUUCUUAUACAUAAAGAGUUUUUAGGCCAUUUUCUUGUAUGUCUAGUCCUAGGAAAUGGAGCCAUGGUAACUUUGCAUUUCACUGUAAUAUGGCAAGAACCAUUAACUGAAUAUGUGAGCAAACAAGACCGUACAUGAUAGAAGCGUACUUCUUGGGGAAUUUUCUGUUCUUCAGAAGGAGUCAAAUGUUUCUCUGAUCCUCAGUGACUCCGAACAUAGAAAUGUCAGAAGUGGAGAUAAGUAGGCAAGGCAGGAGGAAGCAUUCACUCUGGGGAGAGAAUAAGAUGCGCUGUUGCACACAGAAUUUGUGCUGUUGGAACUCAAUCCUUGCCCCAAUCUCAAAGAAACUGAAAUUAUGUAGCUGCUGAAAAGCUGCAGGAAUGUCAGUCUGCUUCUCACUCUUGGCCUCUUUGUUGAUUGUUAGGAAAGAUGAAAAAGAGAAACAGGUAAGGGCCCGACAGGACAGGUUUAUUGCAUAACAAACCCGAGAGGGACUGCUCAAGGUCUAGAGACCUGACCAGCUGCUCUCCCUUGGGCAACAGGGUCUUUUGCAGGGUAACAGAUAGGAAGGAGUUCAGUGGAAGCACUUUGGGGCUAUUUUCCAGGAGCAAGGCUUGAGAGGACACAAGCAAUAAUGGUUGUCUAAGGACAAGGCUUGGGGAACUGUGAGCACUGUCAAUAAGAGGGCUAGUCCUGUUAGGAGCUCCGGGUGCAGCUGUGCUGGGAGGGAGCCUUUGGGGGGUCUCUAAUGAGCAAGGCAGUGGUGUGGCAUUGCUGGCAGUAGGGUGGCAUAAAAAUAUUUACGUAAGGAAGUCUUUAGUAGUUGAUUGUAUAUAACCCUGACAUUUCAUGUUUUCAUACCAAUAACACAUAUUCUGUACUUGACAAAUUUAAUACUAAAUGAAAUGAAAAUAUGUAAAUCAAUGUCUGGAAUUCAUACCAACAGAAAUUUUAUGUUUGUGUGUUAAUAGCUUGUUCAUUAGUUCUUAGAAUGCAAGGCAUAUUUUUAUGGAUUAAAAAUCAAAUUUCACAGUGACAUUUCACAACUAGAGGGCAAGAAAUAUUAUUUGCUCUACUACACCAAAAGCACCUUGAAAUUCAGAUUUUUUUUAAGUCACAUUUUGUUGUCCCCCAAACUUCUGUGCUUCUGUAAUGUCGGUUGAUGUCGAUUGCAUUAAUGAAAAAUCUAUGUAAGAAUCCUUCAAUCGAGACAAGUCUAAUUUUGAAUUGCAAUCAUUAACUGGGUAUACUUUUGUUAACUUCCCUGAUUUUAAUUUACGUUUUUUUUUUCUACAGAAAAAGAAUAUAAUAUUUGGUUUUAAAUUUUAUAGUUUUUUAAAAUAUUCAAUAAAUUAGUUAGUUAAGAGUAUCUGGUAAAACAUGUUCAAGAUUUAAAAAAAAAAACAUAUUCAACGUAGGCACAAGAUAUGUGUUUCCCCCAACUUAACCUCAUCAGAGAAAUAUAAAUCGCUGUCUAAGGACAUGUAGGAAUAGAAUGAAAUGCAUUUUCACAUAAACAAGUCUCUGAUAAUUUAUUAUAACUUAAGGACAAGUUUUUUUAUGGAAAUACAUUUCAAAUUAUAAUUUGACUUCGUAUAGCCCAAGAACACUAAACACAUCAUAAACCACAAAAACAAAUACUUACAAAGACAGAUGCACAAAGCAUUUUCAUCAGGACUGCAUUUCCCCCAGGGAACCCACCUAACCUGGGAAGGUUUUUAUUCAUUUAUAAAAUAAUAUAAAAUAUGUGAAUUUUCUCCUGAAGGUAUCAGAGAAAACAUUUCCAAAAUGCCUCACUGGAAGAAAUAGAAUCUUGUCCUUUGGUGUUUUCUGUGUACAUAUUAUAUGGUGAUAAAGCCAGGUUAGCAGAGACACAGACACACUGUGUGAAAUACAAAGAACUCUGAGUACCAUAAAGUAAGUCUCAAAAUAACUGCAACAAACCAAUUCUAAGUUUCAUUCCAUCGUUCCUCAGGAUUCCCUUGCAUUUCUUCAUUCCUUGAUAAUUCAUCCACUUUCCCAUCCACUGCAUGAGCGUCUGACUGCUAUAAUAACUAUCGCUAUACCAAAAUGAACUAAAAUUCAAUUUAUUUUGCUUACCUAUCUGGAUGUCUUUUCUAUUAUAUACUUAAAAAUUCUCUUUUCAUGACACAGCAUGAUCCAUUUUCAUUGCCGUUCUUUCUCCUGUUUUAAAUAACAGUUUAAUAAUGUCUGCUAGAUUUUGGAAAAUCUCUCGGAUCACUCUCUUGGCCAUCUUUCCCUCAUGUCUACAAUUUAGUAACUGAACAUUGGCAUGGUAACCAUUUCUAUGUUAAUUUCACUGUCUAUAUUCUUAUUAUUUGACAACCAGAAGUGAUUACAAUUAUACUUUAUAUUUGCACAGCACAGAAAAUUAGACUCAAAGUCAAGCAAAUUGUUAUCAAAUGCACAGUGGAUAAGAGAAGGAGUGCCUGAGUCUAAUGCGGCCAAUUCUGCAGUUUCUAGUACAGUAGAGGAAUAAAAAGAAUAAAGUGAAGGCAGAAGACUAGAACAUAUAACUGGAUUCAAAAACUUAACUUUUGGCAGAUGAUGAUGUUGGGUUCUGUUGAGAAUGAUGAAGAAAAAAAUUCCUUUAAAUCCCCAUUGUUUAAAAUCUGUAUUAAAGCUGCAUGGCCACAGCAAUCUUCCUUUUAAUUUACAUUUAUUUAGGGCCAUCUCAAAGGACUUUGAAGUGAAAAUAAAUUCUCUAAAAUUAAGCUGAGACAGGAUAUUGAAAUAUAAAUGAAGACACAUUGGAAAAGAAAUGGAAGCACAAAAUUGAUUUGUGCAGCUCAGACUUUGAGUUGCCUUCUUUAAUUGUUCUGUCUAUUCUUGUUUUUCAUGGUAUGCCCUGCGCAGAAAGCUUUUCAGAAUCUGCCAUUUACAGAGAUGGCACUUUUAGUAGAUAUCUGUUCAUUUCAGAGUAAUGUGUGUUCAAAAAGCAAACCUCGAGGAAAAAAAUUCUAAAAGUAUGAACAAAAAUAAUGAAGACAACUCAUCCUGAUGGAGAGCUAAUGAGACAAGACUAUUCAAUAUCAGGAUAAGGAAUCAAAAUGAAGGCUGUCGAUGGCUUUCUUUGACUUUUUGUGUGAGGAAUCAAGUCCCACACAGGUAAAGGAAGCCUUAGGUGAAAAGAGACCCUAACAAAUAAGAAUUGAAAAAUGUGAGAGCAGAAUGAUGGAGCCAUUUACCAGGCUGGCCAGGUAAAUUCUGUAGAAAUUGCAAGUGUAAGCAUGCUGCUUCAAAGUUACAUUUGUCUACUAGAAUACCACCGCAACAUGCAACUGAAGCCUUCAGCAUUUUUGCUGGCAUAUUUUAUCAUGAACACAUUGUCCAUCCCUCUUGACUCAGCUCAAACAUACUUUUAUACUUCACGUGGAAGAAACAUUGGUCAGCAAAUUUCCUAAGUAAAUAUUUUUUUUAUUUUUUAUGAUUUUUCACAUGCUCUUGUCUUUCUUCAAUUUAUGAUCCUCUGUCUCUGUCUCUGUCUGUCUGUCUCCAUCUCUCUCUCUUUCAAAGUUACACAAUAUUGCUCUAUUUUCCCUGUAUACUGAACCCUUCCUCAGAUGCCUUCAGUUAGAUUUGAGGACAGUUAUGCAAUACUAAGGCACUGCGUAUUAGUUUCCAAAAUAGCACAGAUGGUGUUAGACUUCAUCUGAGUGAAAUGGGGCUGUACUUUAUAUCCAUAAUUUUUAUACCAUAGAAAAUUUUGUAUUCUCUUUGAAAGACGUUCCUGCUUGUAUGUUCAUCAAGUCAGUUUACUGCUAACCAUCACUGGUACAUUAAAUCUCUCUUUUUCCUGUAACGAACAUCACUAAUCUACCCUGCAUACUUCUAUUGUAUAGGUGCUUUGAUUCUUUCAAGAUUUAGACCUCAAGACAGGAUUAUCAUUCCAUCAUAAAUUAUCUGCUAGUGAAAGCUAAACCAUUAUUUUUAAAUAACUAACAUAUUCAAUACGUUUUAUGUUAUAUUUAAAACAGGUCAUAGUUAGUCUAGAAUACUGUUGAUCAUUCUGUCAUCUAAUCAAAAUUUAAUCAACAAAUAUUACCUGCAGCUCUUUUUGACAUGUCUUUUUCUUGUGCAAAGCAUACUGAAACUUUAAAAAGUUGUUCUUUAAGCACACCCUCCAUCAGCUGCAACGUGGAAACUUGCAAAUAUUUGAAAACUUUAAAUUGACUAGUUACUAGCAACAUAAAAUUUUCCAAAAACAGUGGAAAGGCCAUAAUAUUUUCAGAACACAAAGAAUUCAAUUCAAUGGCCAACUUCUUCACUCAGGAAAUAUAUGUGUGCCUUUAAAAUCUUAGUAUACUCCUAAGCAUUGAUCAAAAUUCUUGUGAAGACUUUGCUUAUAAAUAAAAAUGUUUCCCGUGAGGCCUGUAUAUGAAUCCAUAAGAAAGAUUCCUCUUCUUAUGGUCAGUCUUAAUGAGGUAUUGCAAUGUCUUCUCUCCACAUGUCUUUUGCUGUUUCCACUCUGGGGGAGGUUUUGUACAUCAGUCCAGGCCUGUCCUAGUUUAUGGUGGAUAAUAUCCACCAAAUAGCUAAGAAAUUCAUCUGUGCUCAAAUAAUGACCACCAAUAAAAGCCCUUCAGAGAACUGAUUUGCACUAUAAUGUAGGUCCAUUGCUUGUACUAAUCAGUGAACCAAUGAUUCUUGUAAUUCCCUCUGGUGCUUUUAAGGCAGGGAAAAAAAGAUUACAUUCAGUACAGAUGAGGUGCAAAAUAUCCUGGAUGCUAUAGCUAUGUCUUGCCCAAAAUGAAGAGCCACGUAUUUUUUCUUUAAAAAGCCUGAUAGUAUUUUUAAAAAUCUGACUUAAUAACAUUUCUUAUAUCUGUUGAAUAAUAUUAUUAGAUAAUUAUUCAACCUGGCUUGCUUAUUUUUAAACUAAAACACUAUGCAUAAUAAUUUUAUAAGUAAUAAUGGCAUAGAGUUAAUUAUACAUUUUUGAAAAUUUAAGCUAUUGAAUUACAUAUGUGCCUAAGGAGCUUCAAUGUGGUUUUUGAAGUUAUUCAGAGAUUUAAUUCUUAUGAUUAUUUUUUCCAGGCAUGGGUUCUCUAAUACUGCUUUGUUAUGCAGUAGUUAGAAUGCACAUUCUUUUCCUUAGAAGGAUAUAUAGCUACUGGAUGGUUAUACAAAGAUACACAACUCAAAAUGUAAUGUAAGUGUGUUCUUUAUUCCUCUCAUUGGAUCCUCAGUGGAACCACUUACACUGCAACUCCAAAGAACUUUAUGGAUUCUCUGGUGCCAGAACUGCCUCUCCUAUAUCUUAUCAGUCUUCCUGUUCCAUCUCCAAUCUGCCUUUGUGUUCUCCUCUCUUUACUGCCUUGGGUUUUAUUUUAGGUCAGUUAGAAUUGAGGCUGCAUUUGUACUUAGUGAACCUGAAAUAACUCCACAUUUUCCUGAUUCCUCUGUAAUUACUUCUUUGUAAGAAAAGUAAUUUAUUUUGCUAACAUUAGGCACUUCACAUGACAUUAACCUGGUACACACAUUACUAUAAUUCAAGAUGGGUAUGAUUCCAAAAUUGUGAUAGAAAACUAUACUAGGGAUAAAUCCCUCAGACAAGGAUAAAAAACUCAACCAAGAAGUUUAAUAAUAUUGAUGAUUUUUGGUAUAUUUAUGUUAAAAAUGCCUAAAAAUGAUCGUUUACUUCUAACAUCAAACUUAGUAUAUUAAUCUAUGAUUAAAAUGUUGUUAAUAAUAUAGCAAUACUUAAAGUUACCAAGGUAACUUAAUAUAUUAGUUGCUAAAACUGUCAAUUUAUAAGUAGCUGGUACUUAAUGGGCAUCUCCUAAGCCUUCUAGCACAUAAAUAAUUAUGACUAAAUAUCAAAACUUGAGCGUAAAGAGUAAACACUGAUUCAGAGCACCCUUGCCUAGAUUUUCCCUCCCCAUUCAUGAGAUUUUUUUUUCCCCUCAGUAGUCAAGAGAGAAAAAAAAAAAGGUAGAUAUUUGCAAACUUGGCCAGGGAAGUUUGAAGCAAUAAUUUUUCUGCGACACAAUAUGGUCACAUAUGAUUAGGUAUUAAAAACUGGUGGUCAGCUUAACACCAGCUGAGCAAAGAUGUUCCACCUGAGGCAAGCUUCCAGCAAAAACAGAGAUGUGGAGAAGCAGAGGUAGGGAGAAGAAGUUAUGGGUUCUCCUACGUGUUGUUGUUUGAGACGUUGGUUCUCCAGAAGGACCUGCACACGACCAGCUUCUCCAGCGUGAGUUCAACCAUUAUUAUGGAGGAGCUCGUGACUUUGUUGGUGAGAGUGGCUGUGGUUCACUUUGGGGGAGCUCUGGUCCCUACAUCAAACAUUGCUUCCUGGCUCUGGAGGGGAAGACGUGUGCUGUUUAAUCUCAGCAGAAACUAGUUAUGUUGGCUUUCUGGCAUCUACUCUACUGUUCUCAUCUGAGGAGCUUGAGACCUCCGUAUCUCUGAGGGUGACUGUGGUACUUUUCAGGGCAGCCCUCAACCUACCAGCACAGCUCCUUAACCCUGCUGGCAUAGACUUUCUAUCUUCCUCUGCUCACCCUCAGACCUUCACAGAACAGAUCCAUAAAAGAGACUGGCAUGAAUCCUUCUUGUGGGCUGUAGACUUCCAGUUGGACUUGUGGGAGGCAUUGUCAUGGGCUCUAGGUCUUCAUCUAGACUCCUGCAGGAUAUUGCUGUGGGACCCAGACACUUAGCUAAUUAUUCUGUCUUUAGUGUUGUUAACUUUUUUAUGUUAACUCUCGAUAAACAGCAUAAAAUAAUAUUAUAAAUUCUGUGUCCUGAUUCUAAUUGUUCUCCUCUCAACUGCUGACCACAGCAAGAGACACAGUGUUUCAAUUUAGUUCAACAGAGUUGUUAAGUGAAGUCAUCCAAGUGCUGAAUUCAGUUAAUAUAAUAACUUUACAAGAUUCUUAUUAGAAAAAGGCAUAAAUAAAUCAUUGAUGAACCAUUUACUAAGUACAGAGAUAUCUCCCUUUUUAAUGGGGAAGAGAAUAGAGAAAGUCAUACACUUUGUCUACCUGUGUAAGAGAGACUAUCUUAAAAAUACCGUAACAAAUUCAUUCUUAGUUUUAAAAGUCUGUGUAUAAGUCUUCUGGGUAUUAAUAGUAGUAGAAAGUGAGGGCAUUUUCUAUUUAAUGACAAUGGCAAGAACAGAUUCCAUGGUAAAAAUAUGAGACACAUAAACUUGUGUUCUGAGGAUUCUAAGUUGCUUGAAAAUGAAGAAUCACAUGCAUAGUAUGCAGAGCACUAGGAAAUGUAUUAAACAAUAAAAAGAUGGCAACAAAAGAAAGAAGUUGAAAAUUAGGUGUCUUAGCAAUAUGAACACUUGCAUUUCUUCGUUAGAUUUUUAUUUCAGUGCUGAGUAGUAUUUGCCAAAGUAACAACUGAUAAAAGGAAUUCUCCAUGGGGAGAUAAAAUAAUGGGAGUGCUCUGAUUAGUGUUUGGUGCAGAUGGCUACAUCUCCCUUUGAAAACCCCAUUGACUCCCUCCCACUCUGAUAUGCAAAAACUUCCACUGCCUCAGGGGUAUUGCUUCAAAUCUACUAGGUUCUGCCAGGCACAGUUUUAGACAAAAUCUGUGGAGCAAAACCACAUUCAGAAGCGGAAUGUGGAUACUAAAGGGUGAAACUGGAAGGUUCUGAAUGCAGUUAUUUUAUGAAAGAAACAGUAGGAAUAUUAAUGGUUAUUUAAAUAAAAUCAGUAGUGUAAGGAAUAGAAAGAAUAUGCAUGGGAUUUGUGCAUUUUGUCUUCUUUUGGGAGAAAUUUACACAGUGGUGGACAAUAACUGAAUGGAAGAAUCUACAUUACUUUUGAGAUUUUGGGCUGAGGCACAAGUAGUUCUGUUCAGAUAUUUGCUUGCUCUAAGAGAGAGGCAUUUUUGUUAUUUUUUCAACACAAAAUUAAAAAUUCUCUUUUCUAAAUGCAUGCAAAUUUGCAUAUCAAUGCAUUUUAUUCUAUUUUCUUGGGAUACAUAAGGUUCCUUCUUAUUGAGCAGGCACAGUUUUUUACCACAGACACUGAAGCAUGUGCCAGGAAGCAUUUGCGCUUUUAAUGUUCUUUCAGUGGAAAUAUACUUAGUCAUAAUUAAAUUCAGUUGAAUGGCUUUUAAAAGAAGUUAGUUGUUAAUAUGAUUGGCAGUUUCCUGUGCCUUUGACAACAUCUAAUGAAAAAUGCCUGGGUGGUGCACAACACAGACAAAUGAGGGGGUUUAUCUUCUAUGAUCUCUAGCUAAUGUAGUGUGAUUAUGCCGAAUCCUGUAUUUUCAGAAGGCGUGUUAUUACUUCCCAUUAUCUAAAUAAGAAUGAUAAAUGUUCGUGAUUUUCACCAAAUAUAAACAAAGCUUCAAGUUAGUGCAUGAAUACUUAUUUACUUUAAAAUGAAUACUGAUUUGUAGGGGCAAAUAUACUGAAAGAAAAGUCUCUUAUUUUUCUUUAAAAGAAAUAUUAGAUCAUUGUGUAUUAGAAGUUUCAAAUUUAUGGAGAUAAGCAAGGAGAAUGAGAAAGAAAUCAAUUUUGAGUCAACAUCUAGUGUUUGCUUGCUACUGCUAGAUAACUGCCUAUGUGUUUGGUGAUUGUUAUCUUUCUGGUUUUCUUCUGGUAAGUGGUCUGAGGAUCUGGGAAUAACUUGUUUUCUAUUGGUCAUCAAAGAAAAUACAAAUAUGUGAAUAUUUUUAAAUAAACUUGACACAAGUUUACAAAUGAUUCUCUGUUGUUAACAGGAUUAUUAGUGAAUUAGAAAUAUUGGUUUAAAAUAUUAUUGUAAAUAGCUUUUUUAUAUUCUCUACAGUUUUGAUCACUUUUGCUCUAACUCAUCUAAUAUUUCUUUCUGAAAUCCAAAUUUCCAUGUUUUUGCCUUCUUUUCUUUUCUCUGCUGAUCUCAGUUUACACAGUCAGGACAGGUUGCCUGCUGAUCUGUGGCAAGAAAGUUGAUGAAGAAAUUCUUGAAACUAAAAACAAAGCUCUCCAACAUGAUGGGUUAAAAUAAGGGGCAGUCAUCAAUUAUGGAAAUUGUGUCAUGGCUACUCAUAUAACAUGAACAUAAAUCCUGACCCAGCUUUUUUGUAUGCUUUAUUCUAACUAGGGCUUAGAUAAGACAGGAUUUGGAGGACAAGGUCAAGUGGCUAUGUUUCUCUUGUCAUAAUGAACACUAACAUAGAUAAUGAUUUAUUCACCCAUUGUAAACAGUCAUUUAGCAAAACAAAAUCUAGUCCAAAAUACCUAAAGUCUUCUCUAUGGGUGACCCUCUUUUACUGCUGGGACAAAAUAUCUAACAUCCACAACUUGAAGGAGGAAGCGUUUAUUCUGGCUCACAGUUUACAUCAUGGUCAGCUAGUUCCCAGGCAUAAAUGGCAUGGGGAGGACUGGAUAUAGGCCAACUGCUUAUCUCAGGGCAACCAGGAAGUGGGAAUAGAAAGGAGGAGCUGGGGAAAACGAUGCACCAUUCCAAGACAUAUUGCAGUCACCUGCUUUGUCUGACCAGGUCACACCUCCAACAGUACCUUCAACAUCCACAUGAUUAGCUCUGAAAGAUACACUUUGAUGCUGGAGAUUUACCUCAAUGUCUUAACUGUCAGACUGGCAAGCACUGGGUCAUGAGUUUGACCCCUUUACAAAAACAAGACAAAACAAAAAUUCAUACUUAUGAAAGUCCCAUUUUAGAAUGCAUGAGGUUUUGGGGGAGUCAUAUUAGGUUUAAACUAUAAUGGAUAACUGCAUCCAAAAAUGUCAUUAGAGCCAUGAGGUAGGAAUCUUAUUACCUCUGUUUCAAUGUUUCAUUCCCAAAGCAGGAAUUUUCAUAUCAAAGAAAAAUGUGAAUUCUUGAGUGAGACCUAGUUUCUAGCUACAUGAUUUUCUGCAAAUUUUCUUCCUAAAUUUUCUGAUUGCCUUGUUACCGUGUGUGUGUGUGUGUGUGUGUGUGUGUGUGUGUGUGUGUGAAAUAGAGAUGGUAUUGAAUAUAUACAAUAUUUCUGGAUGGCUUUUAUGAAGUUUAAACGGCAAUAUUAUUCAAAAUUUUAGAAGACUACUUGUUACAAAUAUGAAAGUAUUUUUACUUCUGUUUUUCAUUUCAAUUACUCAGUAUAAAGAUUGUCCUCAGUAUUCUGCAGAACAUGGGUUAUAUAGAGCACCAUACGAAUAUUUUUAUAAUUAUUUAUGAUAAUUGUAUUCAUGUAAUUUAGUUAUUUGAUCUUAGCCCCCUAUUAUUGGGGUCAUGACUAUUUUUGGUAUUUUUGUCUCAUAUAUGUAGCAAAUUUGUUACAUGAUAGCAAAUGUCUAAAAAAGAUUGUCAUAUUGGUAUCAAUAAACAAAUUGCAUAAUAAGUCAUGGAAGACACAGAAUAAGAGACAGAAGAAAAAACUGGAAGGCAAUGAAAAUGAAGUUAAAAGACCACAGAAAUGUCAAUCAACAAUAAAUAUGUUUUAAAUUAUUGGGUCUGAUGAGAAUGAGCAUUUCAGAGACUUACAUUCUAGCUUCAGGUUAGAUUGGUAAUAAUUUUAUGAUAAGACAAAUCUCCUACCAUCUAAAACUCUAUUCUGACCUCUGAAAGUACAGAGAUUUAGCUUUGACUUUUGAGAAUCAAGUAACAAAGUAGGUAUAAAUAUUCUUUGUAAAUUGUCAAAUGAAUAAAAUCAUUUUUGUUUCACUAUUUCAAUUUAAUCAAGAUACUAAAACUUUGUCAAGUUGAAGUUGAAGACACAAAGUCAGAGGGACAGUUUGGGACAAUUUUUGUGUGUAACAUUUUGUAGUUUUUAACUUAUUACUACUAGCAGACUGAAAUUCAUCUCAUGGAAUGCCAUUCAAUAGAAUGCAUCAUUUAAAAGUGACAGUUCAACAAAUUUAGGAAUAUGUAGUGUUCAGCUAUGAAAUUUUGAUUUAUUAACACUAUGUCUUCAUUUUUAUUUCUUUAAUGGGGAAUCUUUGCCUCAGUCAGGGAAACAAAUGAAAACAAAAAGAAUAGAUAAUUUUUCAUUUUUUUGCCUUCCAAUUUUGGCAUUGGAUAAACAAAAUGGAAUACCAUAAGUGUAGUAAUGAAGGAGUUUAUUACAUUAUGCAUUAUCUUGGUAAGAAGAACCUGAUUUUGUCUUUCUUAUCAUUUUUAACAGAGACUUAAAGAAAGCUCUGUUUACAGUGGCCAUUAUCUUGAAGGGAAUAGCAAAGUAGAUAAGAGAAAGACAGUGGAGAAGACACAUAAAUAAAGUAAUGAGCAGAGCUACUGAUAGGCAGAGAUUCUAAAGACCUAGAAGUUGUGCAUGUGGUCCUGACUCCAUAAUUCAGAUGCCCUCUGAGGGGAGGAGCACAGCCAGCACAUCUCCUGAGGUGAGAUCCUUACCUUCAGGAGCAGCCUAUCUUAGUCUCCUGUGCUGCAAUUGGGGAACAAUCCUGCAGCAGUGACAUCAUGGUUUUCUUCAGGUUUUGUGUGUGCAUCAAAACAGAAGCAAGUCAUAUGCCUACUGGCCCAUACAAGCACACCCCUGCUUAUGUUUUAAGGCACUCAUAAAACACUGUGCUCCAAAUAGGAUGUUUUAUAUCACAUGGCAGUAGCAGGAUCAAAUAAGAUCCUUAAUUUUGAUCCAAAAGUCCCAACUAUAAUUCUAUGUAGGAUGCACUGAACAUAUGAGAAGAUUCAAUCUUUGUAAAUAUUGUUAAAUAUGAUUUCAGCCAUUUGAAUACAAUCUAAAGGCAAAGAAUACAUUUAAGAGGGUAGUGAUUUCCAAAUGCAUUUACUUUCAGUGCAAUUAAUGCAAGAAGUGACUUAAUGGAAAUGCUUUAACUCAAGUUACACAAUUACAAAGAUAUAUUUCCAUCUGCAUCUAUAGUGAUCAGCUCUUCACACUAAUAGGCAAUACUAUAUGUGAUGUCUCACUACUGUCAUUUCCAUCUCUCAUCCCAGUUCCUUUAUUUUUUAAAUCUUUAAUGGAACUGCCUCCUCCUCUUCCUCUUUCUCAACUAUCACAUGCCAUAGUUUUGCAAUGAUGACUGCUCCAUUACCCAGAAGUUGUAAUGCUGAAAAAAAUGUCUCCUCAAAUCAGAUCUUUCAAAUGAAGAGGUCAUGACUUAGCGAUGGAAUUCAAGAUUCCACAUCUGUUUUCCAUAGUCCACAAACUUAACUGGAAAAUAAAAAACCCUCAGUGCUACUAACACAUUUCUUUUACAGUAAUUGCAGAUAGGAGAAAUAGGCCCAUGGAUAUAGCUCAGUGUCACAAGUGCCUGCCUGGCAAUUGCGAGGUUGUGAGUUUGAUCUUGGAGCAAAAAUAAAUUAAUAAAUAAAAAUUUAGGAAAAUUAAUUAAUUAAAAUGAUUAUUUUCUGCAGCUGUACAUACAGAAUGCCUCUCUUUUUGAAAAAAAAUUGGAGAAAUUAUGCUUUUGGAAAUGAAUAAAAAAUUAAAACAGGAAAAUGACAUACCUGAAAUAUUGUUUCAUGCUAUUUUGUGUGAAUAAAUACAAGAAAAAACAAAACUCCACUAUAACGGAAUUCCAUUAUAACGGAAUUAUAUUUCCGUUAUAACGGAAUUCCAUUCCGUUCCAAUUCCAUUAUAACGGAAUUAUAUUUCAGGAAAUAUAAGUUAAGGCAAGUCUUUGGUAUUAAUAAAUGACUUUAUAGAGAAGGUUUAGACCUGAAUUUUUAGGACAAACAAUGUCAUUCUAGAGACAUCUGGCACAUUUACAUAGUGAAUUUGAGAUAAGAAUUAAGAUUCUUUUAUCUUGGAUACAGGUGACUUUUCCAUGUCAUUUCAUCUUCUGAUAGCAUGUCAGUCACUCAAAAUAUCAGAGCCAUUUCAAUUAAGGAUUGAAAAUUAGAAAUUCUAUUUAAAAAUUAUACACUUUACUAUUAUUCUAAUAUGUGAUCAUAUGUAAAAUCAUAUGUGCUUACAAUGUUUUCUAGCUUAUCCAUUCAGAGAUUAAAUUUAUUUUCUCCUGCUUCAAACUUGAGCUGAUCUUACAAUUUGUUUAUACCUACAUAAUGUGAUAAUAAUGAUACUGGUUCAUUUGGGUAUGGUGCACUGACCUAUAAUCUCAAAUCUUAUGAAACUGAGAUAAGAGGAUUUGAGCUCUAGGCCAGUCUAACUGUAUAAUGAUAUCUUGUCUCAAAAACAAAUGCAGUGCCUUUCCUGUGAGCAUGUAGCAGCUGUGCAGGGCUGGGAAGGGAAACAAGCAGAUAGUUCACCCUUCUCAUGAGCCAACUGGCACAGGGGCUGGGAGAGAAGAGGAUAGCCACUCUUAUCCCCUUAAGGAACCAGCCGAUUCAGAGGAUCACAGACUGAGUGGAUAGCAACUGAGGUACAAAAAUAACUUAAUUCUUGCAUUGUGUGAUUGACUUUGAAGGCCUGAUGUUGGUAGUCUGAGCAUCUAUGUAGAGGAUAACAAUACGCAGUAUAACAACUAAGGAAAAUUUUCUUCUUGUUUUUGAAAAUCCAAUAUUUUUUCUCAUUGCUUUGUUUUGUUCCAUUUUAUUGUUUUCUUGCUUUCUUCAAUGUUCUGUUUUGAUUUGCUUUAUUCUGUUCUGUUUUGUUUGAUUUUGUUACGUCUGAUGGUAUGUGCAGCAAUUUUUAAGAUAAGAGGAAUUAUGGUAACCAUUGUUGACUUCCUAUUAUCAUAUUUUGAAGUUCUGUGUCAUUUUCACUGUUUUGCUUUUAUUGUUUUACUUUGUUUGAUUUUAUUCUCUUUAAAAUAAAAUUUUAAAAAAUCAACAAAUAUAAGAUAUUGUUUGAUUUUCAUAUAAAGAUUAUACUUGGAGCUAUGACUUUUUCUCGUUAAACCAUGAUUAUCAAGCUCUGAAUAGGACUGAGAUGAAAGAUCAUGUGGAGAGGCAGGCCUAGUAAUCCCAGCCAUUGUGGCGAUCCUGGCUGAGACCCCCAGGGCCACCAGAGAGUCCAUUCCAGUCCUCCUUCAGCCAAGCCAUCAACUGGUUGAAUUUGUCUGAGCAAACUCAGAUGAUUCCAAGUGAACUGUCCAUUCAACUUGUAUAAUGAUGAAAGAAACAUAAACUGUUGCUGUUUUAACCCAUUUCUCAUUUAGAAGGAUUUUUCACAGCAACAUUUAAAUCAAAAUUAUUUUCAAAAUUAAUCUCAUUAAUAAGCAAAAUAUACUGAAACACAGAAAAUAUAGGAAUGGAUUAUGAAAAGACAUUCUAUAGAUACAAUAUUGACAUUCACUAGUUUCAUAAGCCAUUUUCUUAUAGAUUAGAAAAGAGAUAUGCAUGCCAUUGAAAUGCAGUUUGAAGAAGAUUUUGACAGAAAGGUUCAAUGAAAAAGAAAAUAUAGAAUUACACAGAGCAUGCAUAUUCAUAUGCUUGCCACAACAUAAAUGUAUAGCUAGCUAUUUUCUAACUUAUUUAAAUAUAGGAUGUUUUGACAGAUGUGACAGACAUGUAGACAAAUUACAUAUAUAUAUAUAUAUAUAUAUAUAUAUAUAUAUAUAUAUAUAUCAGGUUUUUUUUAAAGGCAGUGUGAUAUAUGCCUAUUUGGUGCAUUUCAUUAUUUUUUUAGUUACAGCUUACCCAAAGAACAACUACAUCUCAUUUUUAAAAUAGGCAAACCAUUUUGCUUACUUGUUAACCUCUGACAGUGCAAAGUAAAACGAUUCAUUAAAUACAUAGUCUAUGAUUAUUUAUGAGAUGCUAACUAGAUACAUGAUGUGCUAAUUAUUAAGAAAAUGCACAUUUGGAACAUCUCCAGGUGCCUCUCUAAUUCUUCUUUUUCCCCCAGGUGUAGUUGCUCUCCUCUGAAGGAACAUUAGGGCAUUAGACCAUCUCUGCACUGCAGUAAAAGAAAUUCAAAAAUAAAGCUAAAAACUGUUACAUGUUUUAGUUUUAUAAUAGUAAUAAAAAUAAGGAAAUGAGCCAGGGGUUUAGCUCAGCAUUGCAAGUGCCUAACUGAUAAGCGUGAGGUCAUCAGUUAGAUCCCCAGUAGCAAAAAAAAAAGACAAGAAAAUUAACGUAUAAUAAUUUUUGAUGCAAUGACUCCCACUAUGCAUAACAUGACAUCGAUAUACAGAGACAGAAGAAAAAGCUUAGCAGAAAGACAGGAAGGUAUUAUGUCAAAAUAGUAUUUCAAACAGAACAAUUAAUUUCUUAAAAUAUCAUCUUUCUCUUUUUUGUUACAUUUCAAAAUUUUAAAUAGAAAUAGACAUUUUUAAUUUAUAAGAAUUUAUUUCAUGAGUCAAGAAAAUUGUACUUAAGUUGCUUAAAAGUUUUGCACAAAAAUAUGCAAUUUAUUAUGGAUGUUAGCAACAAUACAAAUUCUUUCAUUGAUUAUUUGUAAUGCACAUGAGACAUAGGUGAAGUAUUUAUCAUCUCAUAUGGGUAUCUAAAUCCUAUCAGUUUGGUAAAAUAUCACUUCGUGGUCAGUUCACCCACAUCUACCCUUGAUCUCCUCCAACCAUUUCCAUGACUGAUACUUCUAAAACAAACUUCUGAUCAUGCAUUCUUUGUCCUUAUUUAAAAUGCUUGAUUACUUCUCAUUAUUUUAAGAAUAAAGGCAAGAAUUUUUGAAUGUAUCCUCUAGGGUUAUAUUAGGUCUGUUUUCUGCAUGGCUCCUGAGCCUUAACUUUUAUGGUGUGCUCCUUGAUUUCUGAAUUCUACCCUUAUCGCCUCCUUCAUUUCUGCAGACAUUGCAGUGUUCCAUGAUACGCCUCCAACUUUUUCCCUCCAACUGGAAUUGUCUUCAUUUGACUUUGUCUAGCAAAUACUUAUUCAUAUUUCCAAACUGAAGUUUUUACUUUCCAAAAUCAACCACCUUCGAAUUUUCUAACCUUCUAAAAUUCAUGUUACAGACACUUAUAACCCUUGUAGACUUUAUUUUUCUGACCUUUAUUUGUCAGUUUUCCAUAGCAACAUUGAGAGCAAGAUGUAGCUGUGUCUCACAGACUUGUCGCCUGCACUCAUGGGCAGGCUUCACUGUUCUCAGCAUCUGUAUUUCAGCUUUUACUCAACAUUCUGGUGGAGAAAUACAUACUUCCUUAUUCUGUAGUAGAGCUUGUGACAUGACUGAGAAACAAACCAGUGUACACCAAGAUAUUUAUGUUCAUCCUUCUUGGAUGAUAAAUGAAGAAUAACUGAAAUAAUAGAAUUUGGCAGCAAUCUCAAGAAACAUGGUACGUAUGAUCUUGAUUUAGGUCAGUGAUCUCAUUUCUAUAUAUUCUUUUUCCUUAGCCUUGAAUACAGUUUUUAAUUGAAAAUGAGAAUAACUGUGAAAACAAGGGAACUAGCUCUAUAUGUGUUUAUCUUAGGAACAUUUUGAAAGUCAUCUUUAGUUCACAUAAAAAUUUUAGUAAGAAAGACAUUUUUAUUUCCAUCAUUUUACUAAUGAACCUAAGAGACAGUAGCUUGUUUGCUCACAGUUAUACAACUAUGAGGAGAUUUUAAUAGAAAGGAACCAAGCUGAUUAACGGCAUGUUUCUGUCACUUAUAUCUUAAUUUUUAUGGGUAAUCUCUGUAUCUAAUUAGGCAGGAUGCUGUAAAAAUAAGUAGAUGAAAUUAAGAAUAGUUCAUCAAGUAGAUGAGUCUGUUAGUGGAAUGGUCUGCCUUCCUUUGAAAUAAUCUAUACAUAGAAAUGACUUUUAAAAAUUAGGGGACUCUUUUUCAAACUCUGAGAAACGUAGUGCCUUACUAGAGAUUCAGAAAAAAAGGAUGAAUAAAAUGUGUUCAACUAGAUUAAUGGUGAUACUCUCUAAAAGACUUAGUUGCUGCAUAUAAAAUAAAGGACAAAAUGAAACAGGGAGAGAGACAAAGGAGGAAUCAUAGAAAUGUUAGAAUUCUAUGAAAUCUGAGAAAUACUGUAUCAUAUAUAUAUAUAUAUAUAUAUAUAUAUAUAUUCCAUUUAACAUAUAAAACUAUAUACCUAAUUGAUUAUUAGUUUGUGUAUAUCAGUAACAGUAAAAUACUUAGGGAGAAUUAAAUUUUUUUGAAAAUUAAAUAUUUUAAAGAGGUUACUGAAUAAUUCAUUCAGAACUUAACCUAAUAAGAGAAAGAACUAUUUUUAAAGCACAAAGUUAAGAAUAAUAGAAGACAAACUGAAAAUUCUGAAUCUUUCCUGGCAGGUUUUUCAGAAACAGAAAAAAUGAGAGGAGAAUAGGGAAAGGCAUUUAAAGUAGAAUUUAAAUUGCUGUUUCUAUAAUUGAUGGAAGAUAUUGUUUUUUAGCUUAAAGUGCUUCACAGAAUCCCAAAUAGGAUAAAUAAAAAAGGUUAAAAAGUGAAAGGGUUGCUGGCCCAGACCGGAUACUGUAGCCCAUAAAGCCAAGGAGCUCCUAUCUCCCCCCACCCUUAGGAAUUACCUCUGGCACCAAACUAAGACCAAUGGGCUACCUGUGCAUCCCUAAUGCCCCCUUGGGUUCUACCCCAGGCUGAGGCUACUUAUGUGCCUCACUCCACGUGUUCCACGGAGGGAUCGCCGGCCUGGGGUGGAGAUGCCACCCCCCAGGCGUUCGGGGGUGUCUCUCCCCGCAUUCCCAAAAUAAAGGUUACUUAUAUUUUAUACUUCUUAUCUUUUCAGCCGCCACCAGUCCUCUUCCUCUUCCUCCCCUCCACAGUUCUAUAGCAACCCUUUCAAAAAACAGAAUGACAAAUUUUAAAAAGAAUAAAAGUAGGAUCAAAAAAGAACUAUUCAACACAGACCUUACUGAUUUUAGAUUCGAAAUAAAACCUAAGAUCUAUAGUAAAUAAAUUACAGAUAAUCACCAAGUAAAGUGGACUGACAGUAGUAUCAACAGUAAAUAUUAUCGCCAGAGAAUUGAGGAAGCGAUAUUAAGUUCCAGUUUAUUUUAUCUUUCAUUGCACUUUCAGAUUAAGUACAAGUGGUCCAUCCAGGGACUUGAAAAAUAAAGCAACAUUUAAAUGUUGCACUUGAAUAAGAAUGCAACAAAAAUUCAGGAGGAAGUGGGUGAAGAUUGGAAAAGCUAAUCAGAACUAAAUGGACUAAAACUUUUAUGAAAAAUUAAAGUUCCAUACAAGAAGCUAGAAAUUUUUUGGCUAUAAAAAUAUGCUAAAUUGUAUAACUUACUUGAUUCUGAUUAGAAAUUCUAAAUAUCUGUCUGUUCAGAAAGUUUACAAUUUUGUGCAUGUUAAAGGAGAUAUUUACUAAGUAAUAUGAAAUUAAAUAUUACAUUUAAAACUAUCACUGGAAAUGAUGAAAAUAACACUAAAAAUCUGAAGUUAAUAGAAGAUAAUAAAGAAAAAAAGUGAAAAUAAGAAAUGACAAAUAUAUAUUUCUAGAAUAUUUACUAAGCCCAAAAAAUACAAGCAAUUUAAAAUUGACAUAGUUCUACUAAUAUUCCAUAAGAAUAGUAUCAUUAAUUAGAGCUAGAAAAGAUCAGAUAGGACAUUUGAAAAUCCAGCAGCACCAUGUUAUUGUGUUUCUAAAAGAAAAACUACUGUCAACUAUAUAAGAUGAUUUAAAUAAAAAGCUGGAAAUAUGAUAUUCAUGCAUUUAAUAAAUGUGGCUACUAAGGAGAUACAAACAUAAGAACUGAAGUUCUGAAAAAGCAUUAAAUAGAAAAAUGACAUGCAGCUUCUAUGUUCUUUAUCAAUAAAUUUGUAAUUGAGUCACUGUAAACUCAUAAAAUACAAAUGUUAUUAGCAAUUUAAUGAGUCAAUAUGAAUAAAUAUCCCAUAUAUUACUGAGCAUAAAGGGAAAUGUCAGAGUGUUUUGUUCCUAUUACAUAAAACAUUCAGAAUACCAGAAACAUGUGCGUGUGUAUACCUGAGAUGACUAUUCACCAAAUUUACUACAAUCCUUACCAUAAAGAUUGGACUCGGAUAAAAAUUUCAUUACAGAAUCUUAGAAAUGAAUAAACAAAAAUAAAAGUCUAAUAAAAUAGCAAAUAUAUUUUAAAAUCUCAUUGUGCAGGUGUGUGUGGUGUAGGUGAUGGGAUGAAGGAAAAUUUGCAGUUUGAAUCUUUGGCAUAUGACUCCCUUGAGACUAGGACACCAAGCCAUAAUUAGCAAUCCAGGCCACUAGGCAGAGGAAUGAGGAAAUCAAUAUGCAAAACUCCUUUAUGUAGAAGUUUCAACUCUCAGAGGCAGUGACUUGAGCUUUGCAGAGCAUGUUCAGCCCUUUGCUAACCCUCCUUCUGCUCUGAUUAUUCUCCUAGCUCAUUCCCAUCAGUUCCCCUCUUCAGAAGCUCCCUCCUGACAAUUGCACAAACCCACUUUGCAUCUGUCAGGACAGGCUUUAUAAUCAGAAUUCAUGCAAAUGUCACUUCUCAGCCUUUAACACCCAAAGAGAGAUUCUCAUUCUGCAAAUGGGCAAAUAGUGAGACAGCCAGUCCCAGUGUGUUCCUGUUUCAGUAACAAGUGUGUUAAGGGUUAUCUCUAGAUGUCCCCCAAAAGCCUCCUACUUGGAGAUUUGGGAAGAUGAUUGGAACAUGGAGGUAGGGUAUUCAUCUGUAGGUUUUCUCCGACAGGUUUAUGGCUAAAUGUGAUGUGGGUAGGUGAAGCCUGAUCUGAUCCGGUGGGUCACUGGAGGCAUGGCCUAGAAGGUGUAACUCUCCUGUCAGGAUCUCUCUCAUCUUCUUCACCUUCCCUUUCUUCCCUUUCCCCUGUCCUUCCUUUUUGCCUUCCUUUCCCCUCUGCCUCCCUUCCCACUCUUUUCCAGGGCUAAGACAUGAACAAUUUGUUUGCCAAGCCCCUCUGCUAUGCUGCACUGCCUUGGAGCCAGUCAACUCUAGAUAGCAACCUUUAGAAACAGUGAACCAUAGGGGGGGAAAAAUAUUUCCGUCUUUAAGUUGUGUGUGUAUUAAACAUUACAUUCCAGCAACAAGGGAAGUGGAAAGUAGUUAAAAGAAAAUAAUUUUAAUUACUUUUACCUCCCAAACCUUGUUUAUUGCUACUAUUAGCCCUUAAAUCUUCUCACAUAGAUUAUAAACAAAUCAGAGGCCACCUUAUGGAGAUGAUGGCAUCAGUAAUGAGACCAGAUUCUUUUCUAGAAAAAAUUGAGACUGGGCCAUCAAAUCUACCUUAAACCCUGGAUCAACCACUUGGUGGCUACAGCAGAAGCUGCCAAUCUCCCAAAGUGCAGACACUUUGAGAGCCUUACUAACCUGCCUGGUCUGAGUGGUCUUUUACCUAGAUGCAUCUAGUUCUAAGAUCCCUCUUCAUUUUUUGUUUUUCUUCAACCAUUAAUUCUAUUUUCUUUUUUGGUUCUUCUUGCAACAGUACAUUUUCACAAGCUCUGUUCACUGUCUAGGAAGAUUCUCACCCCAAACCUCACCCCACAUAAUCAAGUUAGCCCUAUAGUUCCUUAGAUUACUCUCUUUUACCAUGUUCUCAAGGGAAUCUAUUUUAAUGAACCACAUUUCUUCUAUAGUGGAUUCUCACAGCAACAUAUUUUCCUAACAAUAUAAUGAAACUUCAUUUACUACUACACUUCUUGUACUAAAGGUUAUCUACCAAAUAACAACGGAAAACUAGGAGUGUAUGACAUGCUGCUUAGUUUUGCUUAUUAAUCUCACUGCAUUAAUGCCCUCCUGGAGGUGGCUUGCAAUGUGAGAGCACAAGUGAUUAACGCAUUGAUGAGUUCAUAGCAGGAUGGACCAUUUCAUGGUUGGGCACAGUUGGAGGAAGUGAUCCUGGGGACCUUAGUUCAUCCCUUAUCCAUUCCAUUCUGGCUUUUGUCCAUGCCACUCUGCUUCUGGGCAUCACAAGUCGAGAAGUUUUCCUAUUCAGUGCUCUUUUACCGUGAUACCUCUGCUUUGGGCCAGAUGACCACGUAUUUGCACAUUUGAAAGCAUGUGACAAAACACAGCUAUCAUCGCUGAAGUUGUGGGAUUCAGACAGAAUAUCCCAGUAUUGGAAGAGCUGAAGAAUGUAAUGAUCAUGUGGAUUGUGUGUCCCUUUCUCCAAACUCCACAGUUACUUAAGCCAAAAAUCCAUCUCCUGACUUUUUCCAUGCUUCUCAGACUGAGGAUGUGGGCAUAGUUAGAACCAAAGUUCAAUUCUUACUUCAGAUCUCAGAAUGAUCACAGAUAAAUAAUAACCGGAAUUAAUUCACUCUGGGAAUACCUGACUAAUUUUUUGAAAGUAAAAUUUAAUUUCAAGUCACUUUAUAAUUUUAUAAAAGGUAGCAAAGUAUAGUGGCUUUACAUAUACCUUACCCCCUAGUUUCCCUCCUACCGUGGCUUGGUUUGGAUGAGAUUACCACAAGAGUUAGAGGUCAUUGGGGUCAUAUUUUGAAAGAGGUGUUGGAACACAGAUUUUGUCCUUUGUUCUAUGUCCUGCAUCAUCACUUGUGAUUUACUUUGCCAUAUAUUCCUGCCAGGGUAUACUGUCUUCAUCGGGCCCAAAGACAAGCAGUACUUGUUCUUGAAUUGAAGUCUUCAAAAUCAUGAUCCAAAAUAAUUCUUUUCUAAGUUAAUUGAGUCAGGUAUUUUAUUUCGGUGAUGGAAAGCUUAAACAUUAUCUAUCAUUGUUAUGGCACAUAUGUCAGAGUUAAUGGACUAUCAAAGUUAUUAAUUUAAGUUCAUACUUCAUUAAUAUUUCCUUAGUUUUUACUACUGUCAUUUCCUUUUUUAUUAGUAUUUCAUCCAAUAUACUUGCUUAUGUUUGAUCCUUAUUUUUCUUGAGGUUUUAGCAGAUGUGACAGUUUCUUACUUUUUCUUUAUGAGAAUCUUGAUAAUUUUGAAUUGCUCUGAUUAGGUAUUUUAUACAGUUUUCAAGGAACUUUUGUCUCAUGGUUUUGUAAUCCUCUGAUUGGAGUUACGACUGUCAAGAAGCAAGUCCACAGAGAUAAAGAACAUUCUUACCACUUUAUAUAAUAGGUACAUGAUAUUGAUGUGGUAACUGAUAGGCUGGUUGUUUUAGACUGCAACUAGUCUUUCAUUUUUCCUCUUUUAGUACAUUAUCUACAAGGAGAUCAGUAUGCUGCUCUCACACUUAGGGUGGGCAGAAAGAAGUUUUAGCUAUUUGAGGGCUCAAUAUGUAUGUAAAGUAGUUGUAGUUGAUUUUCAUGAAAAAUUUAUUUCUUCUUCUUUAAUUAUUUAUUCAUAUAGGUAUCAACUCAUGGAAGGUGCUUGUUUUCUAUAUAGAAAAUGAUUAAUUUUUAUUAGAAGUAUCAAUGGAGCUACCUGGGACAUUCAGACAUGUACUCACAGUUAACAUUCCAAACUUCUGUCCAACCCAAAUUUAUCAUAGCCCCCAACUCUGUGUAAGAUAGUCUCAUAGCAUAUUGCAGCAUCAAGACAUACAUAUGUCCCUAGCUCAGAAAACAUAAUUCUUCCCUUUCCUUAUUAACUAUUAUCGUCCACUUUAUUCCUCUUUUCUUGGAUUUUCUAUUAAUGUAAGAAUAAUGUACUGCAAAACUUGAUGGUAAAGGUCAUCUAUGUAUUACAUUCCUUGAUUCAGAUUAUAUAGAUCUAGAAUUCCAUUGGGGUGUAGCAGACAUCAUUGCAUUCUGAUUCUCAGGGUCUGUACUUUAGCUAUGAGGUUCAGGGUUUGGUUUGUAAUUCCACAUUUUCAGAUUGGUAUUGUCUCAAACUUUGUUCACAGACACGUCUAACAAUUCAUACUGGUUGUUUAUUUGGACCUUAGCUAAGUCUGUAGAAAGGUCAACUACAUGUAGCCUCUCCAUGUGUUCUGGAAUUCUUCAAAAUAGUGGCAGAAAUAAAAAUACAGGGGAGGGUUGCUGUUGACAAAGGUAUCACUUUUCAUAACCUGACCUAAAUUGUCACUUAUGAGUGGAGAAAAAAAAAAAAAGUUCUUUAACCAGAGAUGCAACACAGUUAAGAAAUAUUAGAGACUGAUAAAAGACACCCAUAUGACCUUCCCCCAGAGAGUCCUAUCAUGAAAAUAUUAACUUAUUGGUAAGGAAAAAAAGAUCGUGACUCUAUAGUAUUAAUGGCUGUGUGAAAUAAGAUCAGAGUGGAACCAGGAACAUAGAUAGUCCAACCUAGUAAAUUUAUAGCACUCAGAGAUUCAGAUGAAAUUGAUUAGUUUCCCUAACUAGCUGACAAAUAACCCGAAGGAGAGCUUAUUUCAUAUGCUUAGAAAAUUAACAGUGGCUUAUAUAAAUCAUAAGAUGAUUGUAGUAUUUUAUAAGUAGAAAAUUAUUCUACUAUAGGAAUUUUCAUCUUGCUUUGUAAAUUCUGGAUUUUUGCCUUCAUACUAAACCUGAAAAUUCUAAAGAGCCAUAUAUGUCAAUAGUAAUGUUCACUAUUACUUGUGAUCCUACUAAAAUCAAAUUGACUUAUAAGAACUUUUAAGAAUUUCCAAAUGCUGAACCUCUGCAAUGCUUGAAAUAGCACACAUAGGUGAAUCUUAAAUAAACUGGGAUUUGCAUGUUAUAGAAAUUUGCACUUUAUAGAAAUUUCUCCUUAAUUUAGACUUAUCUUACAUGUUUGGAAUGUAACUUCACAGAGCUGUUUCUAGAUAUAUUUAUUUUAUACUUUUCCAAUGAUGCUUUAUAAUUUCUUCAUGGUGUAUACUCAAUAUAGCACACAUAAACAGAAAUAGUACACAUGUAUGUUUUUGGUGGAAAGAGACAGAAAGAGAGGAAACUAGUGAGUGUAUCUGCUCAUACCUGUUUGAAACAGUAAAAUAAUUUUCUUAGGGUUUGGUACUGUUUCUCAUUCAUACAAAUCAUUCAAGACACAAGAUUCAAUUUUGUUUGUAACCUGAGUUUUAAUUCUAGAAUAUGACAUAUUCUUUAUUGCUUGUGUGGAUAAAGCUUCACUUUUCAAAAACUAUAUCAAAAUUCUUAUAAAUGAGGAUACUGAUAUUCUAUUAACUGUGAAAUUUUGGCUAUAUCAUAUGGGAAAUUGUUAAAAAUAUUUUAUAUACUUGAAUUGAAGUGCGUUGUUGAUAUGACCUUAAAAUUACUGAUCAAAAAUUGUUUUUAAACUGAGUGCCAUCAGCUCGCGUGUUUUAUUUUUAGUAAACAAAAACUUUCACAAUCUAGUGAAAAAUUUUUGAGCAAUGUUUUCAAAUUCAGUGUGGUUUAUAUUUUGAAAUUAUUCAUAGAUUAAAGUGCUUUUAACCUAUAAAAUAUAUUACCAAUUGCAAAUUUUUCGUAUAUAGCAAACCAGUCAUCUUUUAAAUAUUACUUUAUUUAAAAAUGAAUUUUACCUUCACAUAUUAGAGCAUACAUAUGAAUGAAUGUGUAUGUAUAUUAUCUCCUAGUAUAUGCUAUAUAAAAAUAUCUAUUUAGCACUAAAAAUACCUAGUUAAGAUUAAACAUGCAAUACAUAUUGCACAGCUAGUGGUAUACAUAUUUUUAAAAUAUUUAGUCCUGAAAUGGUUUUAUAAAAAUGAAAUGGAGCUUCUAGGUUUUCAGUCCACCGAGCUUCUUUCAUUCCGCUAAAGAUCACUUUAAUUUGAAAUGUUCAGAAAGUUCAAGCACAUGACAGUGCCACAACAGGAGCAAUUUUAUUGAAAUAGAAAGUGAAGAACAAAAAUAUUCAAUAAUUAUUUCAUUGAUGUGCAGGGAAUGAAUUAUUCAUGGUUACAAAGUAUGUGUGUAUAAUUUUAAUUCUCUGAAUUAAAAGGCUGCUAGACCCACUGAAAGUACAUUGACAAUUUUUAGGGAUCAUCUGCUACCCAGUACUGUAUACCAUCACCACUGUUUAUGUGUAUAUGUGUGUGUUUGUGUGUGUUUGACUUUCUGGGUGAUCAUUAUAUGCUUUGUUGGCCUUUGAUAUAUUGGUUUGAUAGUUAUAAAAAUGGAUCACUGGAGGUGAUAAAGUAAAUUAUUCUUCACUCAAGUGCAUUAUGCAUUUUCUAACAAUCUGUUUGUAGCUAUGACACACAUUCUGAAACAUUAAAACUGCUCCCUGCAAAGAUUUCCUUGGAGAGAGAAUUGCUUAUAUACUUCUGAAUUCUCUUCAAUGACUAAUGGAUAAAAAGUCUCUGUCUGCCACUAAUCAGGUGUAAAACUGUGAAUCUGAAAUGUAGUCACUUAAUGCCCAAAAUGAAUUAGGUGAAAUUAGAUAUGGACUUAAAGAACAUUUCAUUUUUUUCCUGUUGUUCCAUAUCACAUAAAUACGACUGACUACAUUCUCUGUCUUUCCCUCUCUCCCACAUAGUGGUUAUAUGUUUCAAGGGAAUACAAUAUAUACUUUCAAAAUAUUCCUUCAUGCAAGAAAUGAAUAGCUAAAAAAGGAAAAUUGUUUCCUAAUCAUCCUCUACAUCCAUGCAAUAUUCUUCUGUGAUUCAGUUAAAUACAUUGUUGAUAAAUAGUGUUGAAUUAUUGAAAUCUGUUCAUGUCAAAAGGCAAGAAUCCAAUUAUUUCAUUGACAUACCUGCACAAGUUCAUUUACAUAGACAUACAUAAUUGCCUCCCAUAAUUUUUAUGUAUUGGGUGAACUAUUAAGCAGCCCUAAAUUACUACUUGCCUGACAAAAAUAGGGUCAAAUUUGAUUAUAGCCUCUCAUAAUAAAUACAAUGGAGUAUUGGACUCCUCUCAAAAUUAUUGGAAUAAAAAACUUUAGUUUCAGACAUACAUUUACAUGACCUUAAGUAAGUCACUUAAACUUUGCAAUCUCAUUUUCCAGGCAUUAAAAUAAAAUAAACCAGUCAUGGUAGCAAACUCACAAUCCAAGGACGCUAGAAUGGCAAAGAAGGAAGAUUGAAAAUUCAAACAAAGCCUGUGCAAUUUAGGGACUUAGCAAGUCGUUUCUCAAAGUUAAAACUUUAAAAAGACUGAAGAUGUAUCUCAGUAUGCAAUACCUAGAUCCAUUGCCCAGUACCACAAAAUAAGCAAACAAAUAAAUAAAAAUUUUUAAAAAGUAUUUAAUUAUGACCUCCUCAUCCAUUAAAUGGUAUAAUCAUAUUUCAUUGGUAUAAUGGUAUAUAAAUGGUAUAAUCAUAUUUCAUAUUUCAUAUAAUUGAUUCACAUCACACAUUGAUGCUAUUGAAGGGUUUAUAAACCUAUUAGUUAUUUUAUAUUAAAAUGUAGAGAUGCUCACACUUAGAUACAUAUUAUAAAUCGUUUAUUACUAUGUCAUUAGAUGAAGGAAUCAUGGAUUUUUUCCUUUUAUUAUCAUUGAUAUGUGCAAGGUAAUUUUUUUUAAUGAUUGAGAAGUAUCUUCUAUUAAUUAAAUAUAAAUUAAAUUAAGGGUUUUUGGUUAAGAUUUAAGAGCACGCUAAAGGCAAAUUUAUUGUCUUAUAUUCCUGAUCUUUAUAAACAAUAUAAACACAAUACUUAGGAAUUAUCAUACAGAAAUAUCAUGAUUUACCUUAUCACAGCCAUUGUAAUUUUCUGGAAUUAUAAACUCUCUGGUGGCUGCUUUGGCCUCAUAGUUAAUGUUCUCAGGCUUGAGGCUUUAAAACACAGUAAUGAGCACUGUGAAGGUCAGGGAAGGUCAAGGAGCUUUUUUAAUGAAAGUAAUUAAAAACCCAAUUAAUGAUCUACUUUUUAUUACAAGAACAUGGUAAAAAGUUAAAAUCGUAGAAAUGUGAUUUUCACUUCAUGCUAUCCUUUUGAAGCAGAAGAACUAGUUGGAAAAUGUAUUACAAACAUUAUAACCUUAAAUCUCUAAAGUAUAGCCAGUUUACCCUUUGGCAGAUGUGAAGAUAGAAAAUAUUCGAUAUUUCUGCAUAAAUGUUAGAGUUCUUCUUCAUUAAUCUUUAUUAUAAAAUGACUUUUGAAAGGAAAAAAAUACUAAAUGUAAAACAGGUUUUUAAUUUUACUAUUAAUAUUUUAAUUCUAAAGUUUUUCAAUAGCAAAACAUGUGUAAUGCUGAAAAUGUAUUCAAAUAAUUUCAAAUUCCUUAUAUUUAUAUUUAAUGUGGAAAAGGAUGCAUGUUAAAUUACUUUUAACAGAUUAGUUUAUCAAAUCCAUUAUAUUAUAGAUAUUACCAUGCUUGCAUACAAUUAAUGUAGAAUUAUUGAGGUAUUUGACAUUUUUUGAUUUGUUGUUGUAAUAAGUCUUUGAAAUCAAUUGUGUGUUUACGUAUAUAAUUCAUUCCAGUUUGCAUUAGUUAUAUUUUCUUUGUUUACUUUUUAAUUUUAUUGAUAUUCUGUUGAUAGACAUAAGAUCAUAUUUAUUAUAAGGAAUUUGUACCUGUACUAAUACACAUCUUCAUUCUUUCUUUUCCCAUCCUUACUUUCAACCUUCCUUCCCUUCCCUUUGUUUCCAUUUUUUCCUUCUAUUCUCUUUUUUCUGCUUUGUCUUCCUGCUUUUCUCUUUUUUCCCUUUUUGCUCUACUUCCUAUUUGAACAUUUUCUUACCACUUGCUAAUAUCUUCAUCCAAUUUGGCUUUAUUUUUGUUGUUUCUUGAGACACAAUCUUGCUAUACAGCAUGAUGUGGCCUGGAACUUGCACCAGUUCUCCUGUCUCAGCCUACCGAGUGCUGGGUUUACAAACACAUAUCACCAGGCUUACAUUAGUGAUGUUUUAUGUACACGAUAGUCAACUCUAUCUCAAGACUUCGUACACUUCAGUGUACACUGGUACACUGUGAGGACAGCAGCAAAUGACCUGAAACUGACAUUCUUAUAUUGUUUAUCCAGAUUUAAAAGAUUUUCAUUCUUCAAAGAAAAAUACGUUAAAAAAAAAAAAAGACAACAGAAUGAACAGAUUCAAGUGAAGCUGACUGCCUUGCCCACUUUUGUCUGCAAGACACAACAAACUAAAUUUUCAUUUCAGCUCCCAUGGAGUGAAUCAGCACUGGGACAUUCACAUAUCAUUCUAAUUUUUAUGAUUCACUCAAGAUUUGGUUUUCUUGUUUGUUUUAAAUUUUAGGUUUUGGCAUUAUUUUGUCAGGUCUGCACUAAGAAAGCGGUUAUUAAAAGAAGCAGGACCUCUUCUCUUCCAAAAAUUUACUUAUCUAAACUUAAAGUUUCAAUAUGCUACAAAUUUCAGUAGCUCAUUUAGCAGUUGACAUGUGUGAUAGAUGUCAUACUUUGUUAUCAUCUCUCUGAAGUCUACAAUACUUCUCGACCUGUCCUGUGUGAAGGAUACUAUUCAGUAGCACCUGACCUAAGAAAGCUCCAGAAGAAAGUCUGACGAUGGAAAAAAAUUUGAUUCUUGAAACUUUGUCUUGGCAGAGAGUUAGAGCUCUUGCCGAACACCUUUGCAAGCUGCAUUGUCUGUCUUAUUUAUGGCAUUUUGUUCACAUGGAUAUAUCAUUGCCAAACAGAAAGAUGGCUCUCUAGCCAGGUAUGGUGGUGGGAGAUUGCUUUCUGCUGCACAGGAUGUGAGGAAGAAGAAUCACAGGUGCUCAAGAGUUAAGGACCAGCCUGGGAAACAGAGCAACAAAACAAAACUGUAACACACAUACGCAGAGAGUGGUCAUGUGUUGGCAGUUAGGAGACUGAUGAGGGCAAUUCUACUUACCGGCAGUGCCCACCUCAACAUUUAUUAGGAAGGCUCUGGACUUUCUUCUUGCCAAUCAUCCCUCAAAACAGUGAUAAACCCCAUUUACUAGUUCUUAACCACCAAAGCAAACCUUGUUUUCAGAGAAGCAACAGGACAAAUUGUCUGCAAAUCGAUUGCGUCGCAAUAAAAUAAUCAGUAUUCUGAAUAAUAAUAGCAAUUUAGUACUUUGAUAAUCACAUGUCUAGAUUAAAACAAAAUCUGUUUCAAGGAUGGCUACUGGGUGUCAGGGAUUUGGUUCAAUGGUGUAAGUGCCUGACUGGCAAAUGCUAGGUCAUGAGUUCAAUUAAUGGUUCAAAAAAAAAAAAAAAAAAAAAAAAAAAGGAUGGCUACUUGAUUACAUGCUCUUCUAAAUAUAAGUUUUUGAGUUCCUUGUGUGAAUACCUAUCAUGCUAUUGUUCAUGAUACUUUCACCCCUGUAUCUAUCUCUGUUCUAUAAGAAAUCUACUAUUACUAUCUCUUUUAAUAAAAAAAAAAAAAAAAAAAAAAAAAACUCUAUAAGCAUGGUGGUGUUAAGUAAAGUGACAACUUCCUUGUGAAGAUUUUGUAAACAAUGAUACUUUCUUCCCACAAUAUAUUAUUACUACUUCUUUAAUGGAUCUUAGCUAGAAUUCAAGCUCAAGGUAAAACUGGGCACUUGGAAUUUAAACAUUUUUAAUUCCUUUACUAGGAAAAAAAAAUAUUUUCUCGAGUUGAGAUUUAUCACAUUGUUCAAUAUGGUCACCAGUGAGCAAGGACAUUACAGACAGGGAUUAUGUGUCUCACUGACUCCCUGACAUUCUUUUGAAUUGAAGGAAGGAAAGGGGAAUGUAAGUACAAUGUCCUCUGAGCUUUCCAUCUCCUGUGUGUCCAAUUCACAAAAAACAUUUUAAGAAUUAAGCUUGUAGUAGAAAAAAAGUUGUUUAAAAAGAUACAAAAAUCUCUUGACAAAAGGAAAAGAAGAAAAUCUCUUGUUUAGAGAACACUAUCUAAAUUAUUUCAUCAAAUAAUCAGUACAUAAAAUAAAGUGUCCCAAAAAGGGAAUUGUGGAUAAUGCAUUUGGUUAAAUGUAUGGCGUCGUUUUUACUUAAAGUCACACUUUUUAAAAAUUUACUCAAAUUUAGAUGUUUAUGCAAAAGUCAGUCAGUCAUCUUGCUGCCUUGCCUUUAAAUAAACACAUGAAAAUGGUCAAAGGUCAAGAGUGGGUGGCAAUACGUAAUCAACCUGGAAGUUUUUUGUCAUUGACCUUAUAAUUAGAAUGGCUCUGAUAUGUUUUUAAGGAAGAGAGCAUACUACUGAUGCUUUCUGUCCAAAGCACUUGCAUUAACAUUCUCAGGUUUUCCAGCCUCCUGUAGGAUAUCCGUCAUUUUAUAUACUCCAGUUUGUAAUUAGUUUCUUCAUCUUGAUACCUGACUUACAUUUUUCAGGGUCCCGGAGUCCCACAUGGAUUACACAAAAUUGUCUUUACUCUUGUUGGAAACAACAGAAUGGGUUACAAGAAUUGUGAAAAAUAUAGUGUCUUUGUUCACAUUCAAUACCAUAGUGUCCUUUCUCUUGAUAAAUGAAUAUAGUUCUUUUCUAAUUCCUCGUGGCUUUAUUAGAAAUGAUCCUUUCAUAAUAAAGAUCUGCAUUCCUGUAUGUGCUGGUCUAGCUAUCCUGAUUUUCAAUAAAAGCAAACAAAAUACUUUACAAA
Cavia porcellus (domestic guinea pig) is the source of this 33792-nucleotide long non-coding RNA. RefSeq lists it as uncharacterized. The transcript is spliced from 5 exons. Lineage: Eukaryota; Metazoa; Chordata; Mammalia; Rodentia; Caviidae. The record is from RefSeq and is a predicted model, not a curated record.